AACAAGGUUUCCGUAGGUGAACCUGCGGAAGGAUCAUUGAUGAGGCCGAGAAGGACCGCGAACACGAUGCACGCCCUCCCGGGACGCGCCGCAGCGUCCCCCCUCCGCGCGCUCCCAUCGCGGGGCGUGGCGGACGAGUACCCCCACAAGGCGCCGUGCGAGCGCCAAGGAACGGAAAGUGCGGGGGUCAUGGACCCUCGACGAGUCUUUGUAGAACCAAACGACUCUCGGCAACGGAUAUCUCGGCUCUCGCAUCGAUGAAGAACGUAGCGAAAUGCGAUACUUGGUGUGAAUUGCAGAAUCCCGUGAACCAUCGAGUCUUUGAACGCAAGUUGCGCCCGAGGCGUUUUCGCCGAGGGCAUGCCUCCCUGGGCUUCACGCAUCUCGUCGCCCCAUCCCGACUCGCGCACGCGUGCCGUCGGUGUUGGAGCGGAGUGUGGCAUCCCGUGUGCGUACGCGGCCUGCCGAAACGCAACGCGUCCGGUACUCGGCACAGGACGCCACGAGCAACGGUGGUCGGGUCGUUCCACUUACCGGUCGUGGUCGGUUUCGCGUGCACGUGCGUACCUUGCGCGCAUCCCGUCCGGCGCCGAGCUGCGCCCUCGAUCGCGAAUCCAGGUGAGGCGGGACCACCCGCUGAGUUUAAGCAUAUCAUA
Molecule: ribosomal RNA, 656 nt
Filed under: Utricularia nervosa
Lineage: Eukaryota; Viridiplantae; Streptophyta; Magnoliopsida; Lamiales; Lentibulariaceae
Description: eukaryotic LSU rRNA
Rfam family: 5.8S ribosomal RNA (bases 223-378)
Source: RNAcentral